AUUGAACGCUGGCGGCAUGCCUUACACAUGCAAGUCGAACGGCAGCACGGGAGCAAUCCUGGUGGCGAGUGGCGAACGGGUGAGUAAUAUAUCGGAACGUGCCCAGUCGUGGGGGAUAACUACUCGAAAGAGUGGCUAAUACCGCAUACGAUCUACGGAUGAAAGCGGGGGACCUUCGGGCCUCGCGCGAUUGGAGCGGCCGAUAUCAGAUUAGGUAGUUGGUGGGGUAAAGGCUCACCAAGCCAACGAUCUGUAGCUGGUCUGAGAGGACGACCAGCCACACUGGAACUGAGACACGGUCCAGACUCCUACGGGAGGCAGCAGUGGGGAAUUUUGGACAAUGGGCGCAAGCCUGAUCCAGCAAUGCCGCGUGCAGGAAGAAGGCCUUCGGUUGUAACUGCUUUUGUACGGAACGAAAAGGCUCUGGUUAAUACCUGGGGCUCAUGACGUACCGUAAGAAUAAGCAACCGGCUAACUACGUGCCAGCAGCCG
RNAcentral lists this ribosomal RNA (492 nucleotides) under uncultured bacterium. RNAcentral's name for it is "bacterial SSU rRNA". It matches the Rfam family "Bacterial small subunit ribosomal RNA", at positions 30 to 517 of the family's 1533-position model. The record is from RNAcentral.